Paramuricea clavata is the source of this 638-nucleotide non-coding RNA. The record is from the annotation of a GenBank genome assembly. Lineage: Eukaryota; Metazoa; Cnidaria; Anthozoa; Malacalcyonacea; Plexauridae.
ACUUGCAAAAAUAGUUAGCCAAUCGAAAGCACAAGUCACGAUAUGCGUCAAGAGAAAACCACGGAAUCGAGCUACCACGCUAUUUCUCUCAGCAACGUCAGCGCGGAGACGUCAGAUAGGGCGGCUAUGUCAACACCAAGAUACAGAAAAGAUAAAAAUAUAUUUGAAAGGGUAUACAAAAACAUUUUUUCCUGUUUUCUUAUAAGGUUUAUAGUUGUAAGUUUUCUGUUGUGACGCAUUAACUUAUCAAUCAUUCACCUGUGUAUCUAUAUUAUACACCCAGCUUGAUCAUUAGAACCCGUAUGUUUUUUGGCAUGAUUAUGUUACAUGUCAGCAUUCAUAAUAAUCCAAUAAGAACCCUAUUAAAAUAUCACGUUUCUGCAAUUGUCAGGGUUUAUAACUCGGAGACGUCUGUCCGGAGUAAAACAGUUGUGACCUACGCUGUUGAUUAGAAAACAGAUUUCGUCCAACGACCUGUGUAAACAAAACGCUUUGAAAACUUUGUUGGUGCGGGAAAACACUAAGAGCGGGAAAAUGUUCCUCGGAGUCCUGGUGAUUUUGGCCGUGGCUCACCAAGCAAUUGCUGUGGAAGGUGCGUUAUAAACUGUUGUUUAGUUGAGACAAUUAAGGAGUCACGC